This 253-nucleotide ribosomal RNA is filed under the name uncultured bacterium. RNAcentral's name for it is "partial 16S ribosomal RNA". It matches the Rfam family "Bacterial small subunit ribosomal RNA", at positions 524 to 776 of the family's 1533-position model. The record is from RNAcentral.
UACGUAGGGGGCAAGCGUUGUCCGGAAUUAUUGGGCGUAAAGGGCGCGUAGGCGGGUAUUUAAGUCCGGUGUGAAAGAUCAGGGCUCAACCCUGAGAGUGCAUCGGAAACUGGGUAUCUUGAGGACAGGAGAGGAAAGUGGAAUUCCUAGUGUAGCGGUGAAAUGCGUAGAUAUUAGGAGGAACACCAGUGGCGAAGGCGACUUUCUGGACUGUAACUGACGAUGAGGCGCGAAAGCGUGGGGAGCAAACAGG